RNAcentral lists this long non-coding RNA (257 nucleotides) under Brassica napus (rape). RNAcentral's name for it is "long non-coding RNA (BNAP_LNC024219)". The record is from RNAcentral. Lineage: Eukaryota; Viridiplantae; Streptophyta; Magnoliopsida; Brassicales; Brassicaceae.
AUGAGCUUCUAAAUACCUCUGUAGGCCCAUGUGUGAAUGUAGCAAUCUUGCUCCUCAACUCUUCAGCGCGUGUCUCAUCAAAGAAGUUAGGCAAGAAUGCGUUCUUGAUUUCGGCCCAGGAUGUAAGAAAUCCUGGUGGUAACUGCUUGAGUCAGUGCGAAGCUUCUCCAGUAAGUGAGUACUUGAAGAGCUUGCAAAAGAGGUAGUCCUCAGGGACUCCAUUGGCUUUAAUAGCAAAAACUAGAUCCUCGAACCUC